AGCGAUAUAGCUUAAUCGGUGGAGCGGGUCGUGAAAACGGCUGCGGGGCGUUCGAAUCCGUUUAUCGCUA
This 70-nucleotide transfer RNA is filed under the name Lactobacillus johnsonii. RNAcentral describes it as "tRNA-Ser". The record is from RNAcentral. Lineage: Bacteria; Bacillati; Bacillota; Bacilli; Lactobacillales; Lactobacillaceae.